UCGAGGGGCAGCGGGGGAGUGGCAACACUUCCGCCGGCGACCGGCGCACGGGUGAGUAACACGUAUGAAACCUGCCCGCAGCAGGGGGAUAAGCGGAAGAAAUUCCGUCUAAUACCGCGUAACAACCGACGGGGGCAUCCCUGUUGGUUCAAAGGAGCGAUCCGGCUGCGGAUGGUCAUGCGGCGCAUUAGCUAGUUGGCGGGGCAACGGCCCACCAAGGCGACGAUGCGUAGGGGUUCUGAGAGGAAGGUCCCCCACACUGGUACUGAGACACGGACCAGACUCCUACGGGAGGCAGCAGUGAGGAAUAUUGGUCAAUGGCCGAGAGGCUGAACCAGCCAAGUCGCGUGAGGGAUGACGGCCCUACGGGUUGUAAACCUCUUUUGCCGGGGAGCAAAGAGCGGGACGCGUCCCGCCUCGAGAGUACCCGGAGAAAAAGCAUCGGCUAACUCCGUGCCAGCAGCCGCGGUAAUACGGAGGAUGCGAGCGUUAUCCGGAUUUAUUGGGUUUAAAGGGUGCGCAGGCGGAAGCGCAAGUCAGCGGUAAAAUAGAGAGGCUCAACCUCUUCCCGCCGUUGAAACUGCGUUUUCUUGAGUGGGCGAGAAGUACGCGGAAUGCGUGGUGUAGCGGUGAAAUGCA
Molecule: ribosomal RNA, 639 nt
Filed under: uncultured bacterium
Lineage: Bacteria
Description: bacterial SSU rRNA
Rfam family: Bacterial small subunit ribosomal RNA
Source: RNAcentral